This 460-nucleotide ribosomal RNA is filed under the name uncultured bacterium. RNAcentral's name for it is "partial 16S ribosomal RNA". It matches the Rfam family "Bacterial small subunit ribosomal RNA", at positions 338 to 795 of the family's 1533-position model. The record is from RNAcentral.
CCUACGGGUGGCUGCAGUGAGGAAUAUUGGUCAAUGGGCGGGAGCCUGAACCAGCCAAGUAGCGUGAGGGAUGACUGCCCUACGGAUUGUAGACUUCUUUUAUAAAGGGAUAAAGUGAGGCACGUGUGCCUUUUUGUAUGUACUUUAUGAAUAAGGAUCGGCUAACUCCGUGCCAGCAGCCGCGGUAAUACGGAGGAUCCGAGCGUUAUCCGGAUUUAUUGGGUUUAAAGGGAGCGUAGAUGGGUUGUUAAGUCAGUUGUGAAAGUUUGCGGCUCAACCGUAGCAUUGCAAUUGAUACUGGCAGCCUUGAGUACAGUUGAGGUAGGCGGAAUUCGUGGUGUAGCGGUGAAAUGCUUAGAUAUCACGAAGAACUCCGAUUGCGAAGGCAGCUUACGAAACUGCCACUGACAUUGAUGCUCGAAAGUGCGGGUAUCAAACAGGAUUAGAUACCCUUGUAGUC